UACAGAGGUCCCAAGCGUUGUUCGGAUUCACUGGGCGUAAAGGGUGCGUAGGUGGUGAGGUAAGUCGGAUGUGAAAUCUCUAAGCUCAACUUGGAAACUGCAUUGGAAACUACCUUGCUAGAGGAUUUGAGGGGGGAUUGGAAUACUUGGUGUAGCAGUGAAAUGCGUAGAUAUCAAGUGGAACACCAGUGGCGAAGGCGAAUCCCUGGAAAAUACCUGACACUGAGGCACGAAAGCUAGGGGAGCAAACAGG
RNAcentral lists this ribosomal RNA (253 nucleotides) under uncultured bacterium. RNAcentral describes it as "partial 16S ribosomal RNA". It matches the Rfam family "Bacterial small subunit ribosomal RNA", at positions 524 to 776 of the family's 1533-position model. The record is from RNAcentral.